GGGCUCGUAGCUUAGCCUGGAGAUGCAAUCGGGUAAUUAGAGCGCUACGCUGAUAACGUAGAGGCCGCCAGUUCAAAUCUGGCCGAGCCCA
Molecule: transfer RNA, 91 nt
Filed under: Candidatus Aenigmarchaeota archaeon ex4484_14
Lineage: Archaea; Nanobdellati; Candidatus Aenigmatarchaeota
Description: tRNA-Ile
Rfam family: tRNA
About the family: Transfer RNA (tRNA) molecules are approximately 80 nucleotides in length. Their secondary structure includes four short double-helical elements and three loops (D, anti-codon, and T loops). Further hydrogen bonds mediate the characteristic L-shaped molecular structure. tRNAs have two regions of fundamental functional importance: the anti-codon, which is responsible for specific mRNA codon recognition, and the 3' end, to which the tRNAs corresponding amino acid is attached (by aminoacyl-tRNA synthetases). tRNAs cope with the degeneracy of the genetic code in two manners: having more than one tRNA (with a specific anti-codon) for a particular amino acid; and 'wobble' base-pairing, i.e. permitting non-standard base-pairing at the 3rd anti-codon position.
Source: RNAcentral